UCUCCAAAGUUGCUUCCCUUCUUUUUAUUUUCUUCUCACCUCACGGAAGAUUGUAGAAAAUUUUUCUUGGAAAAGGAAGGAGUACAAUCAUCAUCUUAUGGAACGGGAUUAGCUUUAGCUAAAAUUUAGAAAACUGAUCAAGCGGGCUAAGCAAUUCUAUCAUAUCUUCAGGCUGAACUCUUCUGAUAUCACAGGUUCAGGAGAAAGGGUUUCCCCCCUAUCAAACACAACAAAAGGGUUAGCAACUGUGGUAGCCAAUCAAAGAACAUAUGAAAAAUAGCGGUGACGAGUACUGGAUAGCUCAACGGGAUGGAAUAAGUGAAAGGAAGCAGGGAAGAUUAGCAUUAAUCAUGAAAUUCCAUAUGGAUGGUUCUAGUCAAACAUGGGGUGCAUCGGACACAGUCUCUCUUUUGGUCUUAGUUGUUAUAGGUGUUUUCUGAUUGCGCUACUACUUUUGUAGUUGUGACCCUGUCACAUUUUGUUCAGCUUAGUCAGGGACUAUUAUGCAGUAGUUGUUCUAAUGCUUAACCAUGAUAAAACCUCAGUAGUUUUAUAUAAGCAGCUACUUACUACAUGCUACAUUUUGCUGUAAAGUACUAUGGAGGAUGCCCUUACCACAUUAAUAGCGGUGUAACAUCCAUUCUA
Molecule: long non-coding RNA, 645 nt
Organism: Coffea eugenioides
Lineage: Eukaryota; Viridiplantae; Streptophyta; Magnoliopsida; Gentianales; Rubiaceae
Exons: 3
Source: RefSeq, a predicted model, not a curated record